GGUUAAGCGACUAAGCGUACACGGUGGAUGCCCUGGCAGUCAGAGGCGAUGAAGGACGUGCUAAUCUGCGAUAAGCGUCGGUAAGGUGAUAUGAACCGUUAUAACCGGCGAUUUCCGAAUGGGGAAACCCAGUGUGAUUCGUCACACUAUCAUUAACUGAAUCCAUAGGUUAAUGAGGCGAACCGGGGGAACUGAAACAUCUAAGUACCCCGAGGAAAAGAAAUCAACCGAGAUUCCCCCAGUAGCGGCGAGCGAACGGGGAGCAGCCCAGAGCCUGAAUCAGUGUGUGUGUUAGUGGAAGCGUCUGGAAAGGCGUGCGAUACAGGGUGACAGCCCCGUACACAAAAAUGCACAUGCUGUGAGCUCGAUGAGUAGGGCGGGACACGUGGUAUCCUGUCUGAAUAUGGGGGGACCAUCCUCCAAGGCUAAAUACUCCUGACUGACCGAUAGUGAACCAGUACCGUGAGGGAAAGGCGAAAAGAACCCCGGCGAGGGGAGUGAAAAAGAACCUGAAACCGUGUACGUACAAGCAGUGGGAGCACGCUUAGGCGUGUGACUGCGUACCUUUUGUAUAAUGGGUCAGCGACUUAUAUUCUGUAGCAAGGUUAACCGAAUAGGGGAGCCGAAGGGAAACCGAGUCUUAACUGGGCGUUAAGUUGCAGGGUAUAGACCCGAAACCCGGUGAUCUAGCCAUGGGCAGGUUGAAGGUUGGGUAACACUAACUGGAGGACCGAACCGACUAAUGUUGAAAAAUUAGCGGAUGACUUGUGGCUGGGGGUGAAAGGCCAAUCAAACCGGGAGAUAGCUGGUUCUCCCCGAAAGCUAUUUAGGUAGCGCCUCGUGAAUUCAUCUCCGGGGGUAGAGCACUGUUUCGGCAAGGGGGUCAUCCCGACUUACCAACCCGAUGCAAACUGCGAAUACCGGAGAAUGUUAUCACGGGAGACACACGGCGGGUGCUAACGUCCGUCGUGAAGAGGGAAACAACCCAGACCGCCAGCUAAGGUCCCAAAGUCAUGGUUAAGUGGGAAACGAUGUGGGAAGGCCCAGACAGCCAGGAUGUUGGCUUAGAAGCAGCCAUCAUUUAAAGAAAGCGUAAUAGCUCACUGGUCGAGUCGGCCUGCGCGGAAGAUGUAACGGGGCUAAACCAUGCACCGAAGCUGCGGCAGCGACACUAUGUGUUGUUGGGUAGGGGAGCGUUCUGUAAGCCUGUGAAGGUGUACUGUGAGGUAUGCUGGAGGUAUCAGAAGUGCGAAUGCUGACAUAAGUAACGAUAAAGCGGGUGAAAAGCCCGCUCGCCGGAAGACCAAGGGUUCCUGUCCAACGUUAAUCGGGGCAGGGUGAGUCGACCCCUAAGGCGAGGCCGAAAGGCGUAGUCGAUGGGAAACAGGUUAAUAUUCCUGUACUUGGUGUUACUGCGAAGGGGGGACGGAGAAGGCUAUGUUGGCCGGGCGACGGUUGUCCCGGUUUAAGCGUGUAGGCUGGUUUUCCAGGCAAAUCCGGAAAACUAAGGCUGAGGCGUGAUGACGAGGCACUACGGUGCUGAAGCAACAAAUGCCCUGCUUCCAGGAAAAGCCUCUAAGCAUCAGGUAACAUCAAAUCGUACCCCAAACCGACACAGGUGGUCAGGUAGAGAAUACCAAGGCGCUUGAGAGAACUCGGGUGAAGGAACUAGGCAAAAUGGUGCCGUAACUUCGGGAGAAGGCACGCUGAUAUGUAGGUGAAGUCCCUCGCGGAUGGAGCUGAAAUCAGUCGAAGAUACCAGCUGGCUGCAACUGUUUAUUAAAAACACAGCACUGUGCAAACACGAAAGUGGACGUAUACGGUGUGACGCCUGCCCGGUGCCGGAAGGUUAAUUGAUGGGGUUAGCGCAAGCGAAGCUCUUGAUCGAAGCCCCGGUAAACGGCGGCCGUAACUAUAACGGUCCUAAGGUAGCGAAAUUCCUUGUCGGGUAAGUUCCGACCUGCACGAAUGGCGUAAUGAUGGCCAGGCUGUCUCCACCCGAGACUCAGUGAAAUUGAACUCGCUGUGAAGAUGCAGUGUACCCGCGGCAAGACGGAAAGACCCCGUGAACCUUUACUAUAGCUUGACACUGAACAUUGAGCCUUGAUGUGUAGGAUAGGUGGGAGGCUUGGAAGUGUGGACGCCAGUCUGCAUGGAGCCGACCUUGAAAUACCACCCUUUAAUGUUUGAUGUUCUAACGUUGACCCGUAAUCCGGGUUGCGGACAGUGUCUGGUGGGUAGUUUGACUGGGGCGGUCUCCUCCUAAAGAGUAACGGAGGAGCACGAAGGUUGGCUAAUCCUGGUCGGACAUCAGGAGGUUAGUGCAAUGGCAUAAGCCAGCUUGACUGCGAGCGUGACGGCGCGAGCAGGUGCGAAAGCAGGUCAUAGUGAUCCGGUGGUUCUGAAUGGAAGGGCCAUCGCUCAACGGAUAAAAGGUACUCCGGGGAUAACAGGCUGAUACCGCCCAAGAGUUCAUAUCGACGGCGGUGUUUGGCACCUCGAUGUCGGCUCAUCACAUCCUGGGGCUGAAGUAGGUCCCAAGGGUAUGGCUGUUCGCCAUUUAAAGUGGUACGCGAGCUGGGUUUAGAACGUCGUGAGACAGUUCGGUCCCUAUCUGCCGUGGGCGCUGGAGAACUGAGGGGGGCUGCUCCUAGUACGAGAGGACCGGAGUGGACGCAUCACUGGUGUUCGGGUUGUCAUGCCAAUGGCACUGCCCGGUAGCUAAAUGCGGAAGAGAUAAGUGCUGAAAGCAUCUAAGCACGAAACUUGCCCCGAGAUGAGUUCUCCCUGACUCCUUGAGAGUCCUGAAGGAACGUUGAAGACGACGACGUUGAUAGGCCGGGUGUGUAAGCGCAGCGAUGCGUUGAGCUAACCGGUACUAAUGAACCGUGAGGCUUAACCUU
Molecule: ribosomal RNA, 2903 nt
Filed under: Escherichia coli
Lineage: Bacteria; Pseudomonadati; Pseudomonadota; Gammaproteobacteria; Enterobacterales; Enterobacteriaceae
Description: 23S ribosomal RNA
Rfam family: Bacterial large subunit ribosomal RNA
Source: RNAcentral